Molecule: long non-coding RNA, 2624 nt
Filed under: Cricetulus griseus (Chinese hamster)
Lineage: Eukaryota; Metazoa; Chordata; Mammalia; Rodentia; Cricetidae
Description: lncRNA (ENSCGRG00015030597.1)
Source: RNAcentral
AUGAAGGCCGUAUUGGGCAUGCCGUAUGCUUAUUCAGCUAUGAGAGCAGCUGAUGUAAGGGACAGAAGCAGAAAGGGCUCAGUUGGGAAGGAGUUAGGACAGAAUGUCUGAGGCAACGGCGUGGGCCAGAGAACGAGAAGGAGGAGACCAUCCAUGAGACAGGCUUUUUGUCUAGGUACUUCAUCCUCUUGUGUAAUGACCAUUAGCUGUUCACAUAUCUUCUCAGGUCCCUGGAGGAGGGAGGUUGUGGGUUCCUUAGAGCUCAGUGACUGCUCCUGGCAUCCGGCUAGGUGUGUUGUCUCGCUGCCUUCCCUGUUUUGAGGCAAAUACUCCAAUGCUGGGUUAAGAAAGGACAACGAGGACUAGAUGGCCCAGAAAGCUUGGAUUCUGGCUGCAUGUCACAACCCUCUUCUCUCUCAGACCUUUGAGCUGUGCCCUCAUUCCAUGAGAUGAGAAACACCCACCCAGAACAAGAAUAGGAAGUACUGUGGAGGAGGGGGAGGAAAGGUCAGAGGAUCCAGAGGGGUUGGGUCACCAAGAGAACAUGGCCCACAGAAUCAAUUGACCGGGUCUCAAGGGGCUUACUUAACAGAGACCAGGGAGCCUAUAGGGGUCUGACCUAGGUCCCCUGCAUAUAUGUUAUGGCUGAGUAGCUUGGUAUUCUUGUGUAAUUCCUAACAGUGGGAUCAGGGGCAGUUUCUGACUCUUUUGCCUGCUUAUAGGACCCUUUUCCUCCUCCUGGGUGGCCUCGCCCAGCCUUGAUGUGAUGGUGUGUGCCUGAUCUUAUUGUAGCUUCUUGGGUUGAGUUUGAUUGAUGUCAGAGGGAGGGGGGCUUCUCUUUUCUGAGAGUUCAUGGAAGGGGCAUGGAUCUGAGGGAGGGGAGGCUGGGGGAAGGGGAAGGAGUGGAAACUUCAAUCAGGUUGUAAUAUACAAAAGAAUAAAAAAAAGACAUAGAAUAACAGAUACGAUGUAACUAAUAUUCCAAACUUGCAAACUUCCCUAAGUGUCUAGGCAGUAAUCCAUCAGCAAUCUGGAAGUCAGAAAUCUUGGAUAGUCAGGCUCUUUAGCCCACAUUAGUGACUGCUGUUACUGUUUUCUGAAGGCCUGGCAGGUCCUUCUGACAGGUGUGAUCCUGAGUUAGAAUGUCCAGUUCAGUCAAAAGUCCUACUGAAACAGCACUCUAGUCUCACACCCUACCCGGGGCUCCAUGUGAGCCACCGAGGUGCUCUGUUCCCAAGUGCCCAGCCUGGACUCAUUUCCAGGCUCUUAGGAGGGAAAGAGACAUCGUGGACAAAAGCCAAGCCAGUCAACGACUAGACCCUAUGGUGGGUUCUAGGAUCCAUUCCUGAGUCUUGGUGUAAGACCCCCGGAAAGCUCAGGCCUCCCGGAUCUCAGCCCAGGACCUCGGCCACCCCAAUCACCAGGUGGAUUCGAAAGCUUGAUGCAAACUGCAUGAGGCUUUAUUGUUGUUUAAUGAGCUAACCCCAUGUUAGCUCUUUCACCCACCCACCAUGGUGGAUGGCUAGAAAAGACAGCUCGAACCAGCUGCAUAGAGAUCUUAUAGGGCAGCGUAAGGGGAGUGUCUAGGGGUACACACAGGCUCAGGAUUGGUGUGCCUCCAGGCUUGGAGGACUUGCCCUGUGUUGAUUGGCCAACUGGUUGUUAUGGCCCAUAGGCCCUCCCAGGGUGGUUGCUAUGCUCUGUGCGUCAUUGCUGUGCACUUGGCCGUAAAGCACACCCAGAGCCAUAAAGCAUGGCACCACCAGCUAACUUCUGAUUGGUUCCUUGCCACGAGGCAGGCAUCUGACUUCUUAGUGACUAAGGCAAGGUCAGACAAGCACGUGUUCAGCUGUUAAGGCUGCCGAAAUGGGGAGCUGGCCCCUUCAUUGGAAUUCAGCAGCUGAGAAGUUGUGAUUUCUCUGGAGGAGUCACUCUGCCUGGCCCUUUCGUAUUUCUUGUGUUUCUGUGUUGCGAUUUGCACUCUGUUGGUUUCUGUCUGUCUUAUGGUUCCAUUUGAGGAUAUUCUUACACAACGACGACUCCAAAGCCUCAGUUCCCAGUACAGGAAUCACAGAAGCAACUGCAUCGAGAGCCACGCAAAGUUCACUAGAGCCACUAACGUGUCGUCAAUGAGCGCGAACCUGAAGAUGGAAAGCCUACCGUAGAAUGCGCUUUGCCCCACAAAUUAUUCAGGAGCCCUCAUCCAGUGGCUGAUGGAAGCAGAGACAGACAUCCACAGAUAUACAAUGAGCCGAAAUCGGGAAUUUAGUUGAAGAGAGGGAGGAAUGAAGAGCGAAGGGGUCUGUACCAGGUUGGAGAAAUCCACAGGAACAAUUGGCCUGAACAAGGGAGAGCACAUCGACCCCAGAUGCUGUCAGGGAGGCCAGUACAAGACUGAUCCAGACCCCUGAACAUGGAUGUCAAUAAGGAGGACUCUGCACUCCAGGGAGCCUCUGGUGGUGGAUUAGUAUUUUUCCCUGGUGCAAGAAGGGACUUUGAGAGCCCAUCCCACGUGAAGGGAUACACUCUGGCCCUGGACACAUGGGGAAGGGCCCAGGACCAGCAUAGGAAGACUUGGUGGACUUUGCAGAGCCCCAGUUGAGGGCCCUACCCUGCCUGGGGAG